CUUUGGUAGGCUCUCUAAAACCACAGAUAUUCAUAGAAUGAGAAUUUUUAGAGCUAGAAGGAAAUUGGAGCUUCCAAUUUGUCACCGAGGGCAGGACGGCAAGUUGCUAAGGAAACCUGAGAAUCCGGUGUUUGUACCACUAAGUCAAGAUUGCUCUCUCUGUGCAUCUGAAGGAAUCAAUUACCAAGACUUUGUCUCCAUUGCCACUAUUGAGGUUAGAGUCUUUUAAAUGUAUUUACAGCUUAGUUUCAUGGUCACUGUUAAAUCGGGAACCAGGUCCAAGGAGGAGAACACUACUACACCCAGAUUCCAUCCCACCUACAGCAAAUGUCAUAGGGUUUGGAACUCCCCAACUUUCCACUUACAGCUCAUGUGCCUCUUGAGUCAGUGUGGGAUGCAGCCAUGGCACUUAUCUGGAUACCUUGAAAACUGCUCGCAAGUCUUUGGAGGCAACCAACCUGAAGACUUGGACACACCUGCUGCACUCCUAUGUCAUUCUUUGGGACAAAGUGGGGUGACCUGGCCAUUGCCAAGGUGACAUGAGACUUUGCAGUUUCCUGGUAAAGAGAUACAAGGGCUCUGUCAGUUUAUUACACUUAUGGCCUUAGGUCAACUUCUAAAUCUCAGUUUCCAAAUCUGUAAAGUAGUGAUAAAUUACAUUCUCAGGGCCUUGGUGGGGAUUAACGGAGAUAGUCUAUAUUAAACGCUUCACCCUGUCCUUGGCACAUGUAGCAUUCAAAACAUAAUUGUAUGUGUGGUUUCACACUGGGAACAAGGGAAACGAUGUCCUUUUGACUCUUUGUCUUGAACUCCCGAACCCGAACAGCUCUGCCUCUCCAUUUCCUUGGCUCCGUAUUCCUCUGACCUCUGGGGAGAGGACAGCAAUGAUGAUGAAAGAGACCUCUGCUAGCACUCUCAAUGCCAUCAUUACAGCCUAUUGCAUAGCUUACAUAUUUUCAGCUAUUACCUUUUCCCUGUUUAGAUCAUGCAUUUUCCCUUAGAGCAAAUCCAGGGGCAAAUCUUCAUCCUCAUCUCACUGGCCGCCUGCAUGGUUGCUGCAUGAGAAACAGCUGGAGUUGCAAGAUUUGAGAAAAAUAAGGAAAAAUAAGGAAAAUGAUGGAUACAUAGCCAUUUGCACAUAAAAAUCAUCUGCUUUCACCAAAGCAGAGGGUAAAAGAACAUUCCUAAUCUGCUUCAAGUUAUUUGAGGUUCCAUUCUUGUAACAAUAGUAGAGUUAAUUAUAUUGUGUAUAACUCACUGAUCAUACUCUUUUUUUAUUUUAUUUUAUUUUAUUUUAUUUUAUUUUAUUUUAUUUUAUUUUAAAGACUUUAUUUAUUCAUGAAAGACGGGCGGG
This 1354-nucleotide long non-coding RNA is filed under the name Vulpes vulpes (red fox). Its description in RNAcentral is "lncRNA (ENSVVUG00000013208.1)". Lineage: Eukaryota; Metazoa; Chordata; Mammalia; Carnivora; Canidae. The record is from RNAcentral.